GACGAACGCUGGCGGCGUGCUUAACACAUGCAAGUCGAACGGAAAGGCCCUGCUUUUGUGGGGUGCUCGAGUGGCGAACGGGUGAGUAACACGUGAGUAACCUGCCCUUGACUUUGGGAUAACUUCAGGAAACUGGGGCUAAUACCGGAUAGGAGCUCCUGCUGCAUGGUGGGGGUUGGAAAGUUUCGGCGGUUGGGGAUGGACUCGCGGCUUAUCAGCUUGUUGGUGGGGUAGUGGCUUACCAAGGCUUUGACGGGUAGCCGGCCUGAGAGGGUGACCGGCCACAUUGGGACUGAGAUACGGCCCAGACUCCUACGGGAGGCAGCAGUGGGGAAUAUUGCACAAUGGGCGGAAGCCUGAUGCAGCAACGCCGCGUGCGGGAUGACGGCCUUCGGGUUGUAAACCGCUUUCGCCUGUGACGAAGCGUGAGUGACGGUAAUGGGUAAAGAAGCACCGGCUAACUACGUGCCAGCAGCCGCGGUGAUACGUAGGGUGCGAGCGUUGUCCGGAUUUAUUGGGCGUAAAGGGCUCGUAGGUGGUUGAUCGCGUCGGAAGUGUAAUCUUGGGGCUUAACCCUGAGCGUGCUUUCGAUACGGGUUGACUUGAGGAAGGUAGGGGAGAAUGGAAUUCCUGGUGGAGCGGUGGAAUGCGCAGAUAUCAGGAGGAACACCAGUGGCGAAGGCGGUUCUCUGGGCCUUUCCUGACGCUGAGGAGCGAAAGCGUGGGGAGCGAACAGGCUUAGAUACCCUGGUAGUCCACGCUGUAAACGGUGGGUACUAGGUGUGGGGUCCACUCCACGGGUUCCGUGCCGUAGCUAACGCUUUAAGUACCCCGCCUGGGGAGUACGGCCGCAAGGCUAAAACUCAAAGGAAUUGACGGGGCCCCGCACAAGCGGCGGAGCAUGCGGAUUAAUUCGAUGCAACGCGUAGAACCUUACCUGGGUUUGACAUGGAUCGGGAGUGCUCAGAGAUGGGUGUGCCUCUUUUGGGGUCGGUUCACAGGUGGUGCAUGCCUGUCGUCAGCUCGUGUCGUGAGAUGUUGGGUUAAGUCCCGCAACGAGCGCAACCCUUGUUCACUGUUGCCAGCACGUUAUGGUGGGGACUCAGUGGAGACCGCCGGGGUCAACUCGGAGGAAGGUGGGGAUGACGUCAAGUCCUCAUGCCCCUUAUGUCCAGGGCUUCACGCAUGCUACAAUGGCUGGUACAGAGAGUGGCGAGCCUGUGAGGGUGAGCGAAUCUCGGAAAGCCGGUCUCAGUUCGGAUUGGGGUCUGCAACUCGACCUCAUGAAGUCGGAGUCGCUAGUAAUCGCAGAUCAGCAACGCUGCGGUGAAUACGUUCCCGGGGCU
This 1346-nucleotide ribosomal RNA is filed under the name uncultured bacterium. RNAcentral's name for it is "bacterial SSU rRNA". It matches the Rfam family "Bacterial small subunit ribosomal RNA", at positions 28 to 1381 of the family's 1533-position model. The record is from RNAcentral.